This 453-nucleotide ribosomal RNA is filed under the name uncultured bacterium. Its description in RNAcentral is "bacterial SSU rRNA". It matches the Rfam family "Bacterial small subunit ribosomal RNA", at positions 340 to 786 of the family's 1533-position model. The record is from RNAcentral.
UACGGGAGGCAGCAGUGGGGAAUAUUGCACAAUGGGCGCAGGCCUGAUGCAGCCAUGCCGCGUGUAUGAAGAAGGCCUUCGGGUUGUAAAGUACUUUCAGUCGUGAGGAAGGUGUUAAGGUUAAUAACCUUAGCAAUUGACGUUAGCGACAGAAGAAGCACCGGCUAACUCCGUGCCAGCAGCCGCGGUAAUACGGAGGGUGCGAGCGUUAAUCGGAAUUACUGGGCGUAAAGGGCACGCAGGCGGUUAAUUAAGUUGGAUGUGAAAUCCCCGGGCUUAACCUGGGAAUGGCAUUCAAGACUGGUUAGCUAGAGUCUUGUAGAGGGGGUAGAAUUCCAUGUGUAGCGGUGAAAUGCGUAGAGAUGUGGAGGAAUACCGGUGGCGAAGGCGGCCCCUGGGACAAAGACUGACGCUCAUGUGCGAAAGCGUGGGGAGCAAACAGGAUUAGAUACC